This 69-nucleotide transfer RNA is filed under the name Gazella cuvieri (Cuvier's gazelle). RNAcentral describes it as "tRNA-Ala". It matches the Rfam family "tRNA". Rfam says of the family: Transfer RNA (tRNA) molecules are approximately 80 nucleotides in length. Their secondary structure includes four short double-helical elements and three loops (D, anti-codon, and T loops). The record is from RNAcentral. RNAcentral also lists the same sequence under 1 other name. Lineage: Eukaryota; Metazoa; Chordata; Mammalia; Artiodactyla; Bovidae.
GAGGACUUAGCUUAAUUAAAGCGGUUGAUUUGCGUUCAGUUGAUGUAAGAUGUAAUCUUGCAGUCCUUA